GUGCUCAUUUCAGCAGCACAGAUACUAAAAUUGGAAUUAGCAUGGUCCCUGUGCAAGAAUGACACAAAAAUUUGUGAAACACUCCGUAUUUUA
Molecule: small nuclear RNA, 93 nt
Filed under: Prolemur simus (greater bamboo lemur)
Lineage: Eukaryota; Metazoa; Chordata; Mammalia; Primates; Lemuridae
Source: RNAcentral